This 463-nucleotide ribosomal RNA is filed under the name uncultured Desulfobulbus sp. Its description in RNAcentral is "bacterial SSU rRNA". It matches the Rfam family "Bacterial small subunit ribosomal RNA", at positions 925 to 1382 of the family's 1533-position model. Lineage: Bacteria; Pseudomonadati; Thermodesulfobacteriota; Desulfobulbia; Desulfobulbales; Desulfobulbaceae. The record is from RNAcentral.
ACAAGCGGUGGAGUAUGUGGUUUAAUUCGAUGCAACGCGAAGAACCUUACCUGGUCUUGACAUCCCGGAGACCCUUAGGAAACUAGGGGGUGCUUCCAUCUGGAAGAAUCUGGAGACAGGUGCUGCAUGGCUGUCGUCAGCUCGUGUCGUGAGAUGUUGGGUUAAGUCCCGCAACGAGCGCAACCCUUGCCUUUAGUUGCCAGCAGUUCGGCUGGGCACUCUAAAGGGACUGCCGGUGUUAAACCGGAGGAAGGUGGGGAUGACGUCAAGUCCUCAUGGCCUUUAUGACCAGGGCUACACACGUACUACAAUGGCCGAUACAAAGGGCAGCGACACUGCGAGGUGAAGCCAAUCCCGUAAAAUCGGUCUCAGUCCGGAUUGGAGUCUGCAACUCGACUCCAUGAAGUUGGAAUCGCUAGUAAUCGUGGAUCAGCAUGCCACGGUGAAUACGUUCCCAGGCCUU